GACGAACGCUGGCGGCGUGCCUAAUACAUGCAAGUCGAACGAACUCUGGUAUUGAUUGGUGCUUGCAUCAUGAUUUACAUUUGAGUGAGUGGCGAACUGGUGAGUAACACGUGGGAAACCUGCCCAGAAGCGGGGGAUAACACCUGGAAACAGAUGCUAAUACCGCAUAACAACUUGGACCGCAUGGUCCGAGUUUGAAAGAUGGCUUCGGCUAUCACUUUUGGAUGGUCCCGCGGCGUAUUAGCUAGAUGGUGGGGUAACGGCUCACCAUGGCAAUGAUACGUAGCCGACCUGAGAGGGUAAUCGGCCACAUUGGGACUGAGACACGGCCCAAACUCCUACGGGAGGCAGCAGUAGGGAAUCUUCCACAAUGGACGAAAGUCUGAUGGAGCAACGCCGCGUGAGUGAAGAAGGGUUUCGGCUCGUAAAACUCUGUUGUUAAAGAAGAACAUAUCUGAGAGUAACUGUUCAGGUAUUGACGGUAUUUAACCAGAAAGCCACGGCUAACUACGUGCCAGCAGCCGCGGUAAUACGUAGGUGGCAAGCGUUGUCCGGAUUUAUUGGGCGUAAAGCGAGCGCAGGCGGUUUUUUAAGUCUGAUGUGAAAGCCUUCGGCUCAACCGAAGAAGUGCAUCGGAAACUGGGAAACUUGAGUGCAGAAGAGGACAGUGGAACUCCAUGUGUAGCGGUGAAAUGCGUAGAUAUAUGGAAGAACACCAGUGGCGAAGGCGGCUGUCUGGUCUGUAACUGACGCUGAGGCUCGAAAGUAUGGGUAGCAAACAGGAUUAGAUACCCUGGUAGUCCAUACCGUAAACGAUGAAUGCUAAGUGUUGGAGGGUUUCCGCCCUUCAGUGCUGCAGCUAACGCAUUAAGCAUUCCGCCUGGGGAGUACGGCCGCAAGGCUGAAACUCAAAGGAAUUGACGGGGGCCCGCACAAGCGGUGGAGCAUGUGGUUUAAUUCGAAGCUACGCGAAGAACCUUACCAGGUCUUGACAUACUAUGCAAAUCUAAGAGAUUAGACGUUCCCUUCGGGGACAUGGAUACAGGUGGUGCAUGGUUGUCGUCAGCUCGUGUCGUGAGAUGUUGGGUUAAGUCCCGCAACGAGCGCAACCCUUAUUAUCAGUUGCCAGCAUUAAGUUGGGCACUCUGGUGAGACUGCCGGUGACAAACCGGAGGAAGGUGGGGAUGACGUCAAAUCAUCAUGCCCCUUAUGACCUGGGCUACACACGUGCUACAAUGGAUGGUACAACGAGUUGCGAACUCGCGAGAGUAAGCUAAUCUCUUAAAGCCAUUCUCAGUUCGGAUUGUAGGCUGCAACUCGCCUACAUGAAGUCGGAAUCGCUAGUAAUCGCGGAUCAGCAUGCCGCGGUGAAUACGUUCCCGGGCCCUGUACACACCGCCCGUCACACCAUGAGAGUUUGUAACACCCAAAGUCGGUGGGGUAACCUUUUAGGAACCAGCCGCCUAAGGUGGGACAGAUGAUUAGGGUGAAGUCGUAACAAGGUAGCCGUAG
This 1512-nucleotide ribosomal RNA is filed under the name Lactiplantibacillus pentosus. RNAcentral's name for it is "bacterial SSU rRNA". It matches the Rfam family "Bacterial small subunit ribosomal RNA". The record is from RNAcentral. Lineage: Bacteria; Bacillati; Bacillota; Bacilli; Lactobacillales; Lactobacillaceae.